Molecule: ribosomal RNA, 372 nt
Filed under: uncultured bacterium
Lineage: Bacteria
Description: bacterial SSU rRNA
Rfam family: Bacterial small subunit ribosomal RNA
Source: RNAcentral
GAACCGUGCGAACGUUGUUCGGAUUCACUGGGCUUAAAGGGCGCGUAGGCGGGCUGCCAAGUCAGGGGUGAAAUCCUCCGGCUCAACCGGAGAACAGCCUUUGAUACUGGCGGUCUGGAGGGAGGUAGGGGCAGGUGGAACUUCUGGUGGAGCGGUGAAAUGCGUAGAUAUCAGAAGGAACGCCGGUGGCGAAAGCGACCUGCUGGACCUCUUCUGACGCUGAGGCGCGAAAGCUAGGGGAGCAAACGGGAUUAGAUACCCCGGUAGUCCUAGCCCUAAACGAUGGGUACUAGAUUGUGGACUUAACAUGGGUUCACAGUCGAAGCAAAAGUGUUAAGUACCCCGCCUGGGGAGUAUGGUCGCAAGGCUGAA